UUUAUGUAUCAUUUCUUAUGUACUGAAACCCUAGACUACUCCCCGCCUCCAAAACUUCCUCGAAAACUUCUCACUCAAAACCCUCGUUCUGUGCUAUAAAUUCACCUAGAACUCUUCCUCUUCGAAGUUCUUCUAUGUAUAUCGCUGGCUGUUGGACAGCUCGUAAAUUUCUGGGCUGGCAAGAAAGUAUAAUCUUGAAGAUGCCCAGAUGCUCGUGCAAAAACUACACCAGUACCAAUUAGAAGGCUCGAAUUCCUUUUUAUUUUUUAGUUUAAUUUCGGCUACGAUUAAUUGGUUAUCUGCGCUUCUGAGAUUUAUGAUACUUGAAGUAUGAACUUGAAUAAUGGUUGAAUUUCUUGAUAUUGAGUUGAAACUUAAUUUAUUUUAUAUUUUUGUUUUAAAUUUUUGGAAUUUGAAUUUUCUCUUGAAUUUCUGUGGGCAGGGAUGACUAUUUUACAGCUUUUUAAUGCCAGUUCUGCUUCAGAAAAUUCUUGAUUGAUAAAGCUGUUUAUUUCUGAGCCAAUUUUUAUUAGUCAUGCUACAUGUAUAUCAUAUUUGACAUUUUUGUUUACAUGGUAAUACAUCAUUGGACAGUUUAAAAGAAAACGUCUCUUCGGCCACAAUUUUUUUGAAAACAUGGAUGAUGUUAUCAUCAAUUCAAAGAAAAAUCUGUACAAACAGCAUUAUUCAAAAUUAUAACUUGAGAAAGUAAACGAGAAUUCAAUUGAUAUAAAAAUUGAAUAAUGCUCUGCACAGCUUUUCCAUCCUUUUUGUUUCCAAAAAAAAAUUGUGGACAGGAAAAUAGUCUUUUUUAUUUUUUUAAUUGUCCUGUUGUCAUGUGACACAAUGUAAACAAAGAUACUAAAGAAUGUACAUGUAGCAGGAUUGUAUAAUUUUUAUCUAACUUUGUGUAUUUCAUUAAUAAAUCGUGCUUAUAACUGAUUUAAUUAUUAUUUUUUGGUUCAAAAUCGCUUGUUGAAUCAGCUUUAUCUUUCAUUCAAAUUUUGAAUAAUAAUAAUAAUAAUAAUAAUAAUAAAUUGUUUUCUGUUGGAGGCUAGAAAUUAUCUUAUAUAUAGUCCAUGAUGAGUUAAUCUACAUAACUGAGAUGUGGCUGGCUUCAAGUCCCUGUUUUUCAGGGAGAACCUACUUGUGGCUGCUACAUCAUAGCAUGAAAUCACUGGAAAUCUCUGAGACUAUAUUAUCUACCAAAAGAGGUUUUUGCUGGCUUCAAUUUAUUGACACUACGUUUAUUAGAAACAAUGCUUCUAUUCCCUGCGUGCUUCUGAAACAUUAGCUGAGAAGCCUUCUUUUCUUUUUAGCUGAUUGAUAAAGCUGUUUAUUUCUGAGACAGAUUUUUUAAACAUAUUGAAUUCUCUCUCUCUCUACAAAAUCCAAUGUUGACUGAACUCUUAUCUUUCAUUCGAUAAUUGUGAAUAAUGAUAAACAGUGUUUUGUGUUGGAGGCUAGAACUUAUUUUAUCUGUAGUCCAUGAUGAGUUAAUCCACAUAAUUGAGAUGUGGUUGGUGUCAAGUCCCUGUUUUUCAGGGAGAACCUACUUGAGGAUGCUACAUCAAAGCAUGAAAUCAGUGGAAAUCUCUGAGGCUAUAAACUCUUCUAAAGAAGGUUUUUGGUUGACUCCAAUUUUAUUGACUGGGUCUACAUUUAUUAUAAACUCUGGUUAUUUAAUGUUUGGCAGCGCUUCAAAGCGGGUUCUUAACUGCUUUUCUCCGCAUGCUGCUGAGAAUUUGGCUAAGAAGCCUUCUUUUAAGCACAGCCAAACAAUCUGUUAGUAUGGGGGAUUUUUGCAAUUCUGAUAUAUAAAUUUACAAUCAAGAGUGCCAAUGAUGCUGUCGUUGGAUAGUAAAUGAGGUGGAGUUAAGCCAAGUCCCUGCUUUUGCAGUGGAACCUGCUUGGUGGAGCUACGCUAGACGUGAUCAAAGCUUAUCUACUGAGGCAAAGAGGAAUUCUAUAUGUCCUGGUAUUUUUUUCACCCAGAAAAUAACUAUUUCCCUCAAAUGUAUUUCAAGAAACUUAAGAGUACUGUUUUUUUAUUGAUCUUUAUUGGGAAUUCAUUAUGUGGAUUGAAAUUGAGUUUAACUAUACUCUUUGCCCUUGAAUAAACAUUGGGUUUAGGGUCUGAAGAACUCAUAAAUUGUUGUGUUGUCUAUCAGCUUCAUCUCUAUUAAUAUCCCACGAGAAUGGAGUUAAAUAACAGCGCUACAUGUAAAUUUUAAGAAAAUUUUCAUUUGUUAUUUAAUAAAGUCUAAAUUAUCAAACUUUCCAAGGUGGAAUUGGAAUCAGUUUGGUUUUGGUGUGAAAACAACUUGUUAUAAGCAUUUUUGUCCUACAGAAGCCGUUUUCGGCUUUCAAGCUGAGCUAAACAUGCUUUAAUGUAAAAUAUUAUAGGAACUAGUUAUGUGUAAUGUGGUUUACGAAUAGGGGUUAGCUUCCCCUCGUAAAUAUUGAGAGAAUUAUCUUCAUUUUAUUAUGUUAAUUAGCCCAUGUUUGGUUUAGUUAAAAAUAAGAUUUUUAGUAGAAUCUGCUAUGAAAUUCGAAAUUUUGAAAUUAACAAUAGUGGUCCAAAAGUUGACACCCUUGUGUACACUUUUCUUUGAAGUAUCAAAUGUAUCCCUUGAUAAGCAUGUCUAAAGGCUAUAUUACCCUUGCCAUUAAGUAAACAAAACCUAUCACUUUGGUGUAUCUUGGGCCAAAAAGUUACUCUACAACGUGAUUGUGUCAUGAAAUUACGUAUCAAAUUGAAAAUCCGAACAGGGCAAACUUGUUAAAAGCAAAAGUACUUAUGGAAUGAGAUGUUAUGUUUCUUCUGUUUAACAAUGUCUUGCUAAAAACAUAAAAUAUAAAUGGACCCCCAAAAUAAUUGUUAUGACACAAGCUUAACAUAAUAAUGUUAUAUUACUCUCUGAAUUAAUCUCAUGUAAAAUUCAUCAGCAUUUUAAACUUCUGUUGAUUAAUGAAGCAUUUUUUGUUAGUAAGUAUAGUUUCGAUUUUAAAAUGGUGUAACAUUCAUUUCUAUUUAUUAGAAAAGAUGAAAGAUUGUGCAUUUUACAUAAGGAUUAACAAAAGAGGGUGCAUGUUAUAAGAUUACUUUCAUACGGUAUCUUGAAUAUCGUUAUAUUAGUUAGCUGAUGUCAUGUUAUCAAGUUAUAUCAAAAUGCUUCUUAAGGUCAUGUAGAUCAAGGUAUUUUAAGGUAUUAAUUUCCCAUAAGUAGGAUGUGAAAUUAUCUUUACUUUGAUUGGACUAUAGAAAUGUUGAAUUGUGUGGGCUAGGUUGAAUCAACUCGGUUGUCUUGGAAUAUUUUGGCCCUUAACUGGCUUGUUUGGUAGAUAAGCCCAUGGCUUAUAAGUUAUAGGCCUCGCACAAUGUGAGGCUAAAACUGCAUUAAAAGUUGGUCUCACUUGGAAUUAGACAAUAAGUAACUUUGUGCUUUAUUUAUUGUCUAAUUUUAAGUCCACUCUAUGUUUUUAGUCACACAUCUUGUGGGGCCAUUACUUAUAAGUCACGGGUACAUGUCAUUGCUCUGAUCUAAUAGAUGCAGAACAUGUGCUAUUGUCUUUAUUACUUAUUCCUGACAGUUUAAUUUGCCUCAAUAUUAUAUCUAAUUCUAUUAAUUUGACUUUGUUAUAAACACGCAAAGUGUGAAAUCGGGUUUAACACUUUGUGUAGAGUAUCUGUGGCAUUUAUAAGCACACAAAUCCACACUUUGCGUGUAGAGUAUUUGUAGCAUCUUAUAUGUGGUCCCACACUUUGUGUGCUUAUAAAAUAGCCAAUGAGCCCCCACCCAAAUGUGACACUGCUUAUAAGCUCCAAAAUUUUGUUUCGAGCUCUAGUUCUCAGUUGCACAACAUUUUACUUGUGUUGUAUCUUCAAGACACUGAGUUAGUAAUCCAACCAUGGCUUUGUAGAUGGAUGAACAUUUUCCAUUUUAUGAUAAAAUCUACUUCAUUCUCUUGAAUGACAAAUUCAAUGAUCUAUACAAUUGGCUAUAUUUUGAAGUAUAAUUCUAGUUAAUGUUUAUAAAAUUUGUGACUAGAACUGCUGUAGAUAUUUUAGUUUUUGUGUUGUGUCAUGCAUUAUUUUCUAAGGAAAGAUUUGGUUAUCUUUGUGUCUGAUCUUGUAUAUAGUUGUAAUUGUCUUAGAUGACCAUAUGAUUGUUUAUUUAUUAGGUAAAUAAUUUCUCAAAACCGUAUGUUGUACAUGUUUAUUACUUUGGCUCAAUACCAAUAUAUCUCGUUCUACAUGCUAAACCAUAGGCGCCACCCUCUUGUCUUUCUCGUCUUGAAUCCCAGUUUCAUCACCCUCCACCAGGGUUGAAUCACAAACUCGUCAAAUCUCUGCGUCCUUUUAUUCUUCGACCACUCAACUUUGUGAACAAGGUCAACUUUGAAACACAAUAUCGAAGUAAUGGUUGAUGAGACAAAUCAUAGUUUUAUUAUAUUUUAUUUAUAUAUGUUUUCUGAUUUUUACAAUUCGAUUUAUAGUUUCAGUUGGUGUUGGCAGUGAUAAGCAUUUUUACUGCUUUUUAUUGCUUAUCACUGUCACUUCUGGUUGAGAAAAUUGUUCAUUGAUAUAUCUAUGAUUUUCUGUUAGCCAUUUUAACACAAAAUAGUUCUUCUGCAUUAUGUGUUAUUUUCCCAAAUUUUAAUAAUCUCCCUGCAUUGAUUAUUUCAUUAACCAAUCAUUCUUGUUACUGUUCUUCUAAUUUCUUUUGCCAAAAUUUAAUAAUUUUGUGUUGGAAGCUAGAACGUUAUCUUAUAUAUGAGGAGUUAAUCCACGUAAUUGAGGUGUAGAUGGCCUCAAGUCCCUGUUUUACAGGGAGAACCUACUACAGUUGCUGUAUGAAAGCAGGAAAUCACUGGAUAUCUCUGAGGCUAUAUACUUUAAUACAAUGUAAUUUUUAUUUUAUUUUAUUUUUUUUCAAAAUACUGAUGUGAGCCUGAUUAAGUAAUAAAAGAAGUUUUUAUUGACUCAACUUUUAGUGACUAUAAAUUUAUCAAAAAGAAAGGUUUAUUAUGUUUGCUCAUGCUCCAAAGAAAAUUCUUAGCUGCUUUGCAUGCUGCAAAAGAAAGUUACUAGAAAGCCUAUUUUUAAUCACGGCCAAAGGCCAACUGCUGUUAGUUAUUAAUGUUUUACUUUGCUGAUAUAUAAUCUUUUUUUCCCUUUGUCGGUCUAGAACUCUGAAGUUCGGAUUCUUCGAAAUAGUAGGAAUACUUGUGUUGGACAUGAUAGGACCUGGGUAUGGGUAUGAAAUAUUUGUCGGAUCUUUUAAGUUUUGUCAUUUUUACUUCUUUUUUUCUUUUCCAUUUUCUCGCUCUAUAAAUUUAGUGCCGCGAGCAAGAUGAUUGUUAUAUUUAGAUUUUUGAAUUGACAUUGGAUUAUCU
This 5400-nucleotide long non-coding RNA is filed under the name Olea europaea subsp. europaea. Lineage: Eukaryota; Viridiplantae; Streptophyta; Magnoliopsida; Lamiales; Oleaceae. The record is from RNAcentral.